Molecule: long non-coding RNA, 1053 nt
Organism: Oryza sativa Japonica Group (Japanese rice)
Lineage: Eukaryota; Viridiplantae; Streptophyta; Magnoliopsida; Poales; Poaceae
Source: RefSeq, a predicted model, not a curated record
UCCCCUUUUCUCCACAUAUGAGCCGAGCUCCUCGAGCUCUCUCUCUCCUGUUAUGUCUAGCCACCACCGGCCACCGUCGAUAUCCCUUACCGGAGCGUUGUUGGCCAAGCCCUUGCGCCAUCGGGUUUGCCUAGACGAGGCGAAUCCAUUUCACCCCUUUCCCCUUUCCCUUCCCCUUUGAAACAAACCAUCACAGCCACUUCCUCUUGUUGCCGGAGCAAGCUAUUGCCGUCGCCGUUCCGGUCUCCUCCCUAAGACCCUAACCCUCUCUACCGGAAACCACCCUCCCCGGGUGCGCGUCGCUCGGGAACAUGUUUUGCCGCCGACGUCGCAGCCUCUCAACCACCAGAGUACCGGCGCCCCUCCUCUCCCUCCUCUCAACUCACUCGGCAACAGAAAAGAGGAAGAGAACGGGAGGAAGAAGAAGGAAGAAGAAAGAGAGAAGAAAAGGAAAAGGAAAACUGACAGUAGAGUCUAUUUUGGAUGGCAGCCUGUGAUAUUUCAAGGAUCGGAUAAUCAGGUUGCCUAUCUUGGAUUUAUUUGCGUUGGAGCAAGGCAAGUUAUUAUUCCUCCCCUUUGAGCAUAAUAAUCCUAUAUUCUAUAUCUCCGGUAUCUUAUGCAUUAGCCAUACAUGAUUUCGAAUGCAUAACCUGAAUAUAUAGCAAACCAGAUAUAUGCUAGAUUUUGCUUAGCCAUGCCUAGUUAGAUUGCAUAAAAUAUAAUAAACUUAGAUUGGAACAAUACGGUAGAAAUGGUUGAUUUCCGGGUGGCUAGUACUGUUCCAACCGACAUAAAAUUGCCAAGUACAUGUGAAGAACAUACGAGUACGACCGCAAUUCUCGUAUGGGCAUAGACCUAGCUGAUUAAGUUAUCUAGAAAAGGUGGUACCUCUGUAUAGUGGUUCUUCUUAAGUCCUCGCGCAGGAGGCAAACUUACGCCGAGCAGGGCGAUUGUAAUAUUUACCGAGGUGCAUGUAAAUAUUUGAGAUAAAUUGUGAUAUCACAAACUGUGUGUGUAUUGUGAAUACCUUGGUAUAAACAUGGUUGAAUCAAA